CAGCCGCCGCGGUAAUACGGAGGGUGCAAGCGUUAAUCGGAAUUACUGGGCGUAAAGCGCACGCAGGCGGUCUGACAAGUCAGAUGUGAAAUCCCCGGGCUUAACCUGGGAACUGCAUUUGAAACUGUCAGGCUGGAGUCUUGUAGAGAGGGGUGGAAUUCCAGGUGUAGCGGUGAAAUGCGUAGAGAUCUGGAGGAAUACCGGUGGCGAAGGCGGCCCCCUGGACAAAGACUGACGCUGAGGUGCGAAAGCGUGGGGAGCAAACAGGAUUAGAUACCCGUGUAGUCCCUGUCUCUUAUAC
Molecule: ribosomal RNA, 301 nt
Filed under: uncultured bacterium
Lineage: Bacteria
Description: partial 16S ribosomal RNA
Rfam family: Bacterial small subunit ribosomal RNA
Source: RNAcentral